AUGAUUCUGAAUCAUGCCUUCUAAAACUCCGUGAAACAUAUCGUAUUUGCCUAUGUGCACCACUGCCCGACCUAGUCUUAACCAUAAAUUCCUCUCUGAAAUUCACUGAUAAAUUCCUUCUCAACCAGUUCUGACCAAUGCUAAAUGGAGGUUGUCGCCAAUACAUGAUGAAAUCUGCAUAAAACCGCCAAAAAUCAACCCAGCUAUUUGCUUUGAUGGACUUAAAUUCCAACAAAAACAUAUGUCUACUCCAAAUGAUGGGCUGAGACAUUAUGACCCAUUUUCCUCUAGUUUUUCUACCAGCAUCACUUUGUUGGUUUCGGAAAGCCAAGAGAAACAUCAAAAACACAAUCCGACUAUAGAUAAAAUGAGACAUAUAUAAUUCCAUCCCACAAAUGAUGAAAACGUAAUCGUUUAUUCUUGGAUCCCAGAUCCAAACUUGUUCUCCAUUUCUCAAAUCAGAGAGAUUCCAAUUAGAGUCAUAGAGGAAACGACACGUUCCAAUAAUGAAACGACAGACACCGCUCUAAGACGGAAUGAAACCGACAAAAAUAGGCAUGGGUAGUGGCCAAGGUAUGGUCGGAAGUAUACUCUCCACGAAUGAGAGAAGAAGGACACUAGGUUGAGAAGAAAUCUUCAAACCCAUCAAUUGAUAACGAUACAUCUCGUCACGACAAACGGAGAUAACAGUGGUCGUUCUCGGUUCCAUAUAUCUCAUAUACCAGUUAGAUCGAUGAAAUCUGGGUAUUAUGAUCAAGAUCGGAGAUGGGAUUGAAGUUGUGGAAUUCCACAAGCGUUGGUUUGGGAUUCACGAAAUCUCCUUAUUAUUUGCCUGAAACUAUGAAACAAGAAAGAUCUUAGGGAAAGGAAAGGCUUACCGACAGACGCCAGAAAAGCCAACGUCGGCCAGAAACGAGAAAACGGAGAAAGUUAACUGUCUUUGAAAAUCGCCUUUGAGAGAGACAUAACGGUUUUAGUGAGGUCUUUAUAAUGUAAAGAAAUCUUAUAAUGUACUAUAAAUUCAUAAGAAUAAAAUCAAGCUUAAACAAAAUACUAUAGUUUUAGUUUUUAAGAAAAUUAAAAUAAAACCAAAUAAAUAAACGAU
This 1105-nucleotide long non-coding RNA is filed under the name Eutrema salsugineum. Its description in RNAcentral is "long non-coding RNA (ESAL_LNC000545)". Lineage: Eukaryota; Viridiplantae; Streptophyta; Magnoliopsida; Brassicales; Brassicaceae. The record is from RNAcentral.